GCUGGGCAUGGUGGUGCAUGCCUGUAGUCACAGCUACUUGGGAGGCUGAGGUGGGAGGAUUGCUUGAGCCCAGAAGUUCAAGGUUACAGUGAGCUAUGAUUGCGCCACUGCACUCCUGCCUGGGUGACAAAGAGAGACCCUGUCUCUU
Molecule: unclassified non-coding RNA, 148 nt
Organism: Pongo abelii (Sumatran orangutan)
Lineage: Eukaryota; Metazoa; Chordata; Mammalia; Primates; Hominidae
Rfam family: Metazoan signal recognition particle RNA
About the family: The signal recognition particle (SRP) is a universally conserved ribonucleoprotein. It is involved in the co-translational targeting of proteins to membranes.
Source: Ensembl